Molecule: long non-coding RNA, 1385 nt
Organism: Neofelis nebulosa (Clouded leopard)
Lineage: Eukaryota; Metazoa; Chordata; Mammalia; Carnivora; Felidae
Exons: 3
Source: RefSeq, a predicted model, not a curated record
UAUGAGUUGACAGUAACCACUCAGAGAUAGGAGACCAAAGCUCAGGAGAGGGGUAGAGCUGGAGGGAGAGGAGGCGGGGACAGUAAUUUUGACUCACUUACCCAUGCAAGUGCAGGAUGAAGACUUCAGAGAGAGACACAAAGGGAAUCGUGGGGAGCCUUGGGGGCGGAGAGUAGACGCCACCUGGACAUCACUGGGCUCCCUGUGUGUUAAAGCUUCCUGAGGUCAGAGGAAGAGGAAGCACAGAAAAUGGAGGAGGGACUUCUUACAGGAGAGAACCAGAACACCAAUCCUUUCCUGGACAUUUCAUAGAGAUGGAAUCACACCCUAUGUGGUCUUUGCAUCCGACUUCUUCACAAAAGUGUAAUGUUUUGGAGGUUUAUCCGUGCUAUAAUGAGGGAAAUGGAGCCGUCACCCAUCACUCACCCAAGGUUGCAGCAAGAGAUGGUGAAGGUCUGAUGGAAGGCAGUGACCACAAGCAUGGACAGGUAUUUGAGGGAGAAUCGGCAGCACUUGGAGGCAGCUGGCUGUGGGGAGGAGGGGAAGCUGAGGCUUCCCGCACAUCAUGGGUGGGAUGUAGGAGGAGACAGAGCAGGUUGGAGGGGAAGAUAAUGAGCUCAGGCUUCCAGCUGCCCAGAUGUCUCCAAGCCGCUCUCUUGAGAAAUGGUGUUUAUUACAUGACAAUGUCUAUAAUUUGGCUUCCGGCAUGACUCGAUAAUUAGCUUAAGUUAUCCUUCUUUGGCAUUUCAUUCAAAGCAAGGACACUCUUACAUUCAUUCUGAUGAGACCUGUUUUCUGUUCGAGGUACAGGAUGACAGUGAGCCUAGAGCCCUACAGUCUGUCUCCUUGCUCGAGUGGGUCAGAGACUGAAGCCAGUGGAUGGGCUGUCUGUCCUCUCAGCUAGCAUCUGUCUGCCUCUGGGGCUUAGAAGUGUGGAUGCCCCCUCUGAUAGGGAGCCGCCUGAGGGUGGGGUCCUGGAACCUGAACAUUCUGUGCCCAGCAGAAGUAUAGUCCAGAGAUCGGUUCCAAGAGCCACUGGGAGGUACAGCGAGGAGAAAGAUGGUUAACAGAAGUCCACUGGGAGGCACCUGCCGAGGUUGCCACAGGGAUGCUUAGGGCUGAAAGGGGGCUGCGUUUAGGGAAACUUUGAUUUAAGAGGUAUUUACAAGGCAGGUUUUAUGAGACUUGGGGGCUGAUUCACAGGAGGAGGGAGAGAGAUAAAGAUUCAAGAAGGACCCUCACGUUUCUUUCUCAGGAGAGAGAGGAGGCUAUUAACUGAAGUAGGACAAGAGGAGGGGUGGGCCCAGGGAUGAGGAGAUGUCAUUUCAGUUUUGGUCGCAGUUCCCAGGGACCGAAUAUAAGUGGAAGUGGAUGCGGUCUGAGGA